GUGCCAGCCGCCGCGGUAAUACGAACUGUGCGAACGUUAUUCGGAAUCACUGGGCGUAAAGCGUGCGCAGGCGGUUUUGUAAGACAGUGGUGAAAUCCCCGGGCUCAACCUGGGAACUGCCAUUGUGACUGCAAGGCUAGAGUGCGGCAGAGGGGGAUGGAAUUCCGCGUGUAGCAGUGAAAUGCGUAGAUAUGCGGAGGAACACCGAUGGCGAAGGCAAUCCCCUGGGCCUGCACUGACGCUCAUGCACGAAAGCGUGGGGAGCAAACAGGAUUAGAUACCCUGGUAGUCCACGCCCUAAACGAUGUCAACUGGUUGUUGGGAAUUUACUUUCUCAGUAACGAAGCUAACGCGUGAAGUUGACCGCCUGGGGAGUACGGCCGCAAGGUUGAAACUCAAAGAAAUUGACGG
This 411-nucleotide ribosomal RNA is filed under the name uncultured bacterium. RNAcentral describes it as "bacterial SSU rRNA". It matches the Rfam family "Bacterial small subunit ribosomal RNA", at positions 505 to 916 of the family's 1533-position model. The record is from RNAcentral.